This is a long non-coding RNA of Seriola aureovittata, 1989 nucleotides long. RefSeq lists it as uncharacterized. The transcript is spliced from 3 exons. The record is from RefSeq and is a predicted model, not a curated record. Lineage: Eukaryota; Metazoa; Chordata; Actinopteri; Carangiformes; Carangidae.
CAGGAACAGGCCUUUCCCUCCAGCAGCCAGGUGAGUUGUUUUAUCUUAGUUGUACAUUAGCUAAAAAGCAGCUAGCUACACAUUCUUGUUUAGACACCUGGAUUAGCAAUGCUCAUUACAAAUGACAGGUAUUUUACACCUUUGUCUCUUCAUUGUUGUUGUUAGUCAGGUCUCCAUGUGGCUGUAAAGACGUUUGGCUCUUUGAAACAUCCACACAACUACGUUUUACUUUUUAAAUUCAGCUCUUUUCAGCUCUGCCGGACCUGUUUUAUUCUGAAACUCUGGAGAACUCUGGUCGUGUUGUAGUCUGGACGGACAGAAAGUGAGACCUCUGUAAACGAUGAGGUCACAGCCAGGGUCUCUCCUGAUUGGCUGUCAUCAGCCUGGACUACCAGUGGUGAAUACAACAUGAUAAUGAAUGACAGUGUUACUGACCUUGUUGUCUUUGCAGCAGCUGCUGUUCACUUACAUUCUCUGUUUUAAUGCUACAACUGUCUCUGCUGUUCCUCCUUCAGAGGCUUUACUGCAGAGGAGACAACCUACUUCCUGUUUACACCGGCUCGCACACGCUCAGUGCAGGUGAUGGUCAUGUGAUGUGUGUUUUCAGUUGUGUUGGUCUGGAUGGAGAUCUUUUUCCUCGUACAAUAAAAACAGAGGUGUGGACGAAGCCUCAGCAAAGUGCUAAGAGCUGUUGUGAAGAAUUGUUUAGACCUGAGCUCUUCAAACAGUCUGAUGAAGACUUCAGUGUGUGGGACUCUCCUUAUAUCUCAGUCCUCUGGAUGAUGCAGAGGAAACGCUCUUCACGCUCAGAGGGAGGUGAGUCAACAUGUCUCUACUUCAGAUGAACUGUGACACAGAAACCACACUGAUAUCUGAUAUCUGUUUGUUUGAUCCUUUCAUCUCAUGUGUACAACCUGGAUCCUCCUGUUCAACUCCUCUCUCAUCUCUCCGUCAGCUGCAACACCUCCACCCAGUUUUUAAUGAACACUCCUGUCGUUAGUUUCAUCGUCCAUCAGCUGCUGAACGCUUCGUUAGAUUUCAACACGACCGACCCGUGUCUCCACGCCGGCGACGGCCAUUUUGUUUUCAUGUCGUCUGUCCAUACAUCCAUCCGUCUCAUUCUGGAGGACACAGUAUCUCAGUGACGCAUCGACGGAACGUCUUCAGAUUUGGCACAAACAUUCACCUGGACUCAAGGAUGAACUGAUUAGAUUUUGGUGGCUAAAGGUCAAAGGUCAAAGGCCAAUUCUGGAAUGACUCUGGAUAAACAGGGAUGUAACCUGGAACUAGUCUGAGUGGCGGAGGGAUGCGACCACGAGGUUUUGCAGAAGGACACUGACUGGUAUGAAAACACUAAACUGGACAAAAAGGUGCACAGAGCCUCAGAAGUGAUGAGCUGGGAGCUGACUGACAUCCACGCCAUCAGAUUACAGACAACGUGACCCCAGAUCCUUCAUGCCUCCUCUCAGCUCUUUACCUUCCUCCUCCUUUAUGAAGCUGGAAGCAUCAGAACCAGGACGGCCGGGUUCCUCCACCCAGAGGCUCCUCAUGCCCUUAAUUCAUACAUCACUAAUGUGCUGCUGUUGUUCCUGUCUAUGGGACGAUGUCGUGUGGGGACUGUAUGACACGAGGUUUUGACAUGAAGUGUGUGGACUGUGAUCUGAUCACCUCCAUCAUGAUGCUGUAACUGGGAGACACUGUGUCUGCAGCCGUCUCCUCAUCAUGGAGGAAGCCCUCCUGUCAGGGAGCAGCAGAUUAACGCCUGUGGUUUUGGAACAUGUUACAUACGUGUCCACAUACUUUUGGCCAUGUAAUGCAGCUCUGCUACAGACAGACACUUUAAUGGUACAGGUAUUUAAAUAUCCAAACCAACAGAGGAAAAAAAUCUCAUGGAUGUUUUACACACGGUUUGUUUUGUUGAGGAGAAGCAGAUCACAGAUCAGAUCUUUUUAAAAUCAAUAAACAUCAACUAUUAAUAAAUCAAUUAUU